Molecule: long non-coding RNA, 163 nt
Filed under: Gorilla gorilla gorilla (western lowland gorilla)
Lineage: Eukaryota; Metazoa; Chordata; Mammalia; Primates; Hominidae
Description: lncRNA (ENSGGOG00000044318.1)
Source: RNAcentral
GCGUGGUUGCCCUGUUUCUCUCUUCUUGGAUUUGUACCUGCCUGUUAGUGACACAGUGUUCCUUUACAAGGUGAAAUGUUGGUGCCAAACGAACUUUUCUGGUUCUUCUGAAUUUUCUGUGGCCACCAUUGCUUUUAGAUAAAUCUCAUUAUGUGCUCCGAGC